Molecule: ribosomal RNA, 484 nt
Filed under: uncultured bacterium
Lineage: Bacteria
Description: partial 16S ribosomal RNA
Rfam family: Bacterial small subunit ribosomal RNA
Source: RNAcentral
AUUGAACGCUGGCGGCAUGCUUUACACAUGCAAGUCGAACGGCAGCGCGGGCUUCGGCCUGGCGGCGAGUGGCGAACGGGUGAGUAAUACAUCGGAACGUGCCCAGUAGUGGGGGAUAGCUCGGCGAAAGCCGGAUUAAUACCGCAUACGACCUGAGGGUGAAAGCGGGGGAUCUUCGGACCUCGCGCUAUUGGAGCGGCCGAUGGCAGAUUAGCUAGUUGGUGGGGUAAAGGCCUACCAAGGCGACGAUCUGUAGCUGGUCUGAGAGGACGACCAGCCACACUGGGACUGAGACACGGCCCAGACUCCUACGGGAGGCAGCAGUGGGGAAUUCUGGGCAAUGGGCGAAAGCCUGAUCCAGCAAUGCCGCGUGUGUGAUGAAGGCCUUCGGGUUGUAAAGCACUUUUGGCGGGAACGAAAAGGACUGUGCCAAUACCACGGUUCGAUGACGGUACCCGCAGAAUAAGCACCGGCUAACUACGUG